Molecule: ribosomal RNA, 460 nt
Filed under: uncultured bacterium
Lineage: Bacteria
Description: partial 16S ribosomal RNA
Rfam family: Bacterial small subunit ribosomal RNA
Source: RNAcentral
CCUACGGGAGGCAGCAGUGAGGAAUAUUGGUCAAUGGACGAGAGUCUGAACCAGCCAAGUAGCGUGAAGGAUGACUGCCCUAUUGGUUGUAAACUUCUUUUAUAAAGGAAUAAAACGAGGCACGUGUGCCUUUUUGCAUGUACUUUAUGAAUAAGGAUCGGCUAAAUCCGUGCCAGCAGCCGCGGUAAUACGGAGGAUCCGAGCGUUAUCCGGAUGUAUUGGGUUUAAAGGGAGCGUAGAUGGGUUGUUAAGUCAGUUGUGAAAGUUUGCGGCUCAACCGUAAAAUUGCAAUUGAUACUGGCAGUCUUGAGGACAGUUGAGGUAGGCGGAAUUCGUGGUGUAGCGGUGAAAUGCUUAGAUAUCACGAAGAACCCCGAGUGCGAAGGCAGCUUACUAAACUGUGACUGACAUUGAUGCUCGAAAGUGUGGGUAUCAAACAGGAUUAGAUACCCUUGUAGUC